RNAcentral lists this unclassified non-coding RNA (2189 nucleotides) under Hevea brasiliensis (rubber tree). The record is from RNAcentral. Lineage: Eukaryota; Viridiplantae; Streptophyta; Magnoliopsida; Malpighiales; Euphorbiaceae.
GUCUUAGGGUUUUGCAGCAUAAUGUCGGCCAUAAAGGAGAUAUGCUCACAAAAAACACUGCCCCAUUUUGCUAAUUACAAUAACAUGAACGUAGAUUAAGGCAAAACUGUGUCCAAAAAAAGCUUGUAGCGAUGGAUAUCUACUUCUGUACUGGAAAAUUAAUUGGGAUUAAAAUCCAUGUUUCAUGGACCAACCGGCAACGCUUUGUUAUGUAUUGGUCGUCUUCUUCUAACGUGGGAAUAAUCCAUCGUAAAAUACUGCGAUGUGUCGGUCCCCUCCGCCCAUUCUUGCCUUGUCCCUCUGCUUCCUCUCAACACAUUUUCUUCCUUUUGAUAUGGUUUUCCUGAAAUAUCUCCUCUCUGCAGGAUAUCGCUUGAAGUGGAACCUUGACUUUUAUGAUCAUUAACAGGUGCUGCUUUCUCAUCAAGAAUUACUCUAAGCUUCCUUGGAAGUGUAGCAGCGGGGAGAGAAAACUGGACUUCAUCAACUCUACUGGCCAUGACUGCUCAUGACAAGAAACAGAUAAAUAAAUGAGAACAUGCAUGAAAAUAUAUAAUCUAAGGGUACAAAUAAUGAUCAUGGAGAAAUUACUAUUAACAGAAAGAAUAUUGAUCUCUAUUACCUUGUUCUUGAAUUUGGAUACCAACACAGGGUGUUAGAAGCACAGAGAAACACAAACAAAGAGCAGGGAAGAUGACUAGAAGCUCCAUUUCUUUCCUAGAGAACUUUGCGUGGGACAUUUCCUUUUAGCAUGGUAAGGAUAUAUACUUGUAUCAGGUACACAGAGAGAACAAACACAAAGCACAAAAAGAAGACUCCCAAAACGAGUACAUGGAAAUCCUCUGUUCUUACUUUUUAGGAGGCCUUCACACCAUUUGGGUUGGAUUUUUUGUCACCACUUGCUAUAGGAGGGCCCUUCAUUGGUUUAUGUUUUGUAGCCAUGUCUACACUACACUAUGACAUAUCCCCAUCAAAACCCAGAAAAAGAAAUAUAUUUUUAAAACUGUUGUGAAUAAAGACUACCAUCUUUCUUUCACUUUAUUGGAGAAAGAAAAAAUAUUUGAUAAAAUAUUUGAUAAUUUCAUCUUCUUGCACUUUAUUCUUCUCUAUCAUUGUUAGCGAAAUGGAAAUGCAGAUUGCAGGCCAGCUCAUUUACCAUUAAUUGAAUCAUGCAACUAGGCAGUUAGAUAUUCUCCUUUUGCCUCAUGACUGCCCCAGGAAAGUGAGAAUUUUAUGGCCUAGCUUCAGGCUUCCAAUUCCACAAUUUUAUGACUACAGAGCACUUUAUUCUCUCUGUACUUGUAAGAGAGAAAAUUACUCCCUUUUUCUCUUCUGUUCAGAGAUUAGGGUCUCUUUGCCUUGCCGCGUUUGGCCUUCCUUGUCUCGAUUUAGUGGGUUUUCCUCUUCGCUAAUCAGUUGGGUUGUAGAUAUGUUUUGUUUGGGGGGUAACGGUGAUGAAUUGUUGAGGGUGAUUUUGGGUUGCCGAUAGUUUCUAUAUGCUUUUGUUUUCUCUCUCUUGCCCUUAUUUUUGUUGGUAAUUUUAUAAUGUUGUUGCAAGUCUGGUGGUGCUUUAGGGAGGAAAUUAUGAGAAUCUGCUUUGAUUGGGUGGAUUGCAUGUCCAUUUGAGCGUUUGUGUGGACUUGGCAGGAGAAAGUAUCUGUUGCUGGGCAUGAAGGAAGAAGCAUCCCUAGGGUUUGAAGAGUUGGUCGAGUGAAUAUUGCCGCCUUGAAAAAAAGAGAUUGAGACACUGGUUGAGCCCUGCUCCUUAGCUUCUUACCCUCUGUGCAGGUUGCUAGUUUGAGCUUGAAUGGUUUCCUUGGCCCCAUAGCCCUCAUUCUCCACAUGGUUUAUUGUGGUUUGUAGUUUGGCUGCUCAUGUGGUAUUGCUUGGUCUGAACGGGCUAGUCCUUUCUGUUGGGGUUCUUCUCGGUAAGACGAUACCUAAAAGUGUAGCGUAGGUUGGCUUGAUGUUGGUAUUCUGUUGCGGGUUUUCUACCCGUUUAACUUGCCCUAGGGUUCCUUGAAUAGGGCUAAAGGAUUUGGGUUGGGCCUUUCCUUGUAUUUUAAGCUUGUGUUGAGCUUCUGUUGGCUAUAGUUAUGAUCCUUUUUAAGGGAUAUGGGGCCUUUUUUUAAGUUUGUACUUGUCCGCCAAUUCAAAGCCUUUUAAUUAAGCUUUUGUCUUAAAAAAAA